ACGAACGCUGGCGGCGUGCCUAAUACAUGCAAGUCGAACGGUCUUUCUAUGGAAGCUUGCUUCCACUGAGAAGAUAGUGGCGAACGGGUGAGUAACACGUGGGUAACCUGCCCAUAAGAGGGGGAUAACAUCCGGAAACGGGUGCUAAUACCGCAUAGUUUUCUUGAUUGCAUGAUUGAGAAAGGAAAGACGGCCUUUGUGCUGUCGCUUAUGGAUGGACCCGCGGCGUAUUAGUUAGUUGGUGAGGUAACGGCUCACCAAGACGAUGAUACGUAGCCGACCUGAGAGGGUGAUCGGCCACAUUGGGACUGAGACACGGCCCAAACUCCUACGGGAGGCAGCAGUAGGGAAUCUUCCGCAAUGGACGAAAGUCUGACGGAGCAACGCCGCGUGAGUGAAGAAGGUUUUCGGAAUCGUAAAACUCUGUUGUCAGAGAAGAACAAGUUGGAGAGUAACUGCUCCAGCCUUGACGGUAUCUGACCAGAAAGCCACGGCUAACUACGUGCCAGCAGCAGC
RNAcentral lists this ribosomal RNA (516 nucleotides) under uncultured bacterium. Its description in RNAcentral is "bacterial SSU rRNA". It matches the Rfam family "Bacterial small subunit ribosomal RNA", at positions 29 to 518 of the family's 1533-position model. The record is from RNAcentral.